Long non-coding RNA from Octopus sinensis (East Asian common octopus), 95 nucleotides. RefSeq lists it as uncharacterized. NCBI's taxonomy places the organism in Eukaryota, Metazoa, Mollusca, Cephalopoda, Octopoda, Octopodidae. The transcript is spliced from 3 exons. The record is from RefSeq and is a predicted model, not a curated record.
UCCAGAGGAGUGAGAUGUGAUCAUUUUCAAGCACUGGCGGUGAUUUGUGUUCCCACCGGUAUUUAUCAUGGGGCAAGUCCAGGAGAUCGGAGGAG